This 301-nucleotide ribosomal RNA is filed under the name uncultured bacterium. RNAcentral describes it as "partial 16S ribosomal RNA". It matches the Rfam family "Bacterial small subunit ribosomal RNA", at positions 509 to 807 of the family's 1533-position model. The record is from RNAcentral.
CAGCAGCCGCGGUAACACAGAGGGUGCGAGCGUUAAUCGGAUUUACUGGGCGUAAAGCGUGCGUAGGCGGCUUUUUAAGUCGGAUGUGAAAUCCCUGAGCUUAACUUAGGAAUUGCAUUCGAUACUGGGAAGCUAGAGUAUGGGAGAGGAUGGUAGAAUUCCAGUUGUAGCGGUGAAAUGCGUAGAGAUCUGGAGGAAUACCGAUGGCGAAGGCAGCCAUCUGGCCUAAUACUGACGCUGAGGUACGAAAGCAUGGGGAGCAAACAGGAUUAGAUACCCCGGUAGUCCCUGUCUCUUAUAC